This 253-nucleotide ribosomal RNA is filed under the name uncultured bacterium. RNAcentral describes it as "partial 16S ribosomal RNA". It matches the Rfam family "Bacterial small subunit ribosomal RNA", at positions 524 to 776 of the family's 1533-position model. The record is from RNAcentral.
UACGUAGGGUGCAAGCGUUGUCCGGAAUUAUUGGGCGUAAAGAGCUCGUAGGCGGUUUGUCGCGUCGGCUGUGAAAACUUGGGGCUCAACCCCGGGCCUGCAGCCGAUACGGGCAAACUAGAAUUCGGUAGGGGAGACUGGAAUUCCUGGUGUAGCGGUGAAAUGCGCAGAUAUCAGGAGGAACACCGGUGGCGAAGGCGGGUCUCUGGGCCGAUAUUGACGCUGAGGAGCGAAAGCGUGGGGAGCAAACAGG